Molecule: RNA transcript, 5478 nt
Organism: Nomia melanderi (Alkali bee)
Lineage: Eukaryota; Metazoa; Arthropoda; Insecta; Hymenoptera; Halictidae
Gene name: PR domain zinc finger protein 10
Source: RefSeq, a predicted model, not a curated record
AUCUGAAACAAUGAGGCCAGAACAUCAGGCGAAAUCCGCCGCCAAUUUGACUGGUCGAUUCGAAAGUUUCCCGCCAUUGCAGUGGUGCUCAGUCAGCGUUAUGAAACUGAUAACGUCAAUUGUUGACGAGCCAGUUGCAGCAGGUGCAUCACAGGACAAAAAGUGCGUCGACUUCGAAAACUUAUGCAUUGAGGAUGCAGGUAACGGGUGUUGUGGUAUUCUUGGAGCAAGACGAGAAUUAAAAUGGAUCCAAGGGGCCCUCCUGAGGGGGCCCCUGUUAAUUCCUUUGAAAUUCCAAACAUUGACAAAGUGUCUGACACUUCAGUAAAUUGGUCUGCUGAUCAUUCGCUCCAUUCAGCUGUGUGCGAGCAACCCAAAAAAAUGAGUAACAAGCUGUUGUUUCUGACUGUGGAGUAUGUGGAGGAUCAGUCUCGGGAAUAUCCUCGUCUAUUUCCAACAUACGAGCAAGUCUCUUUUUCUCCCAGAGCAACUUCCCCGCUUUCUGAUUUCGAGCACCGUGUCAGUCCUCUUGACCCGAAUAUGAGUUCAGCAGCUAGGUAUUCACCAACUCCUGUACAACUUCCACCAUCUCCUUUUCAUAAUUCUGUUGUUGUUCUACAAGGUCCAUCCUCCCCUUUAAUAUCCCCACCCGAGUCGAACGAGAGAACAAAUGUUAACUAUGUUUCUCAAAUGACCCAUCCAAUUGAUGCACAGAGUGUACAACAAACAGACAAUACACCCGACUUUGUUGCCAAUGAAAAUGAAGAGCAGUUGGUCUCUAGUGUUGGUAGUGAAUUAAUUUUGAUGCAAGAGACCAAUUCUGGAUUGGAAUCACCAGCAGCACCAUUGAUGCUGACAGGAAUGCCUAGUACAGAUUUUACGUUGAGUAGAGAUUUUCUUGUUAUGCAAGAUGACCAAAUGAAUGUCAUGAAUUCGUUUAAAGCUCAAAAUCUUGAUGUGGAUGAUUCUACUUUAUCAUCAGCUGCAGAAAAUUCGAAUAAGGAGAAUAAAGUGGAUCCUUUGGUCAAACCAAAAGAUCAAGAUAUUAAUGAAGUUUUGAUAGAUACGGAAGAAAAGAAGGAUAGUGAAAAGCAGAAUGUUAGACGCUCCAAGCGUCGUAUAAACGAUAAGAAAAGUUCUUGUUGCGAUGAAGGCGACGAUGUCUGUACUGGAGACAAUUGUACAUCGCAUAACGUGUGUACGAUAGCAGAUCAGCCUGUGCCAUCACGAGCUAUAGCAACACUGCCAGGAUCAUAUCUCUCCAUAAAUAAGUUGUCCAGUUCCGAAAUUGAAUCGAACGGAUCAGAAUAUGGAGUUUUUGCAAAACGUUACAUACAAAAACGUACUCAAUUUGGUCCGAUUGAAGGCAUCUUGUACCCAUACGAUGGUACUCCAUUUAAAAACGAAUUACCGUUACUCUAUGAAACCGAAAACGAGGAAUUACUGAAAGUAGAUGUUUCGAAUGAAAAUGCUUCAAAUUGGAUGCGCUUCGUAAGGCCCGCAUUGGCGUAUAAAGAACAGAAUCUAGUAAUUUGCCAACAACGCGAUGGAAUAGUGUUCUUAACAACCAGGCACAUCUUACCAAAGGAGGAACUGAAGGCUGGUCCAAGUACUGAUUACGCGAUUCGUAGGAAUUUGACAGCGCUGAAGCCUGUGCAAGAAACUAAAGAUGAUAAAGAGCCUAAGAAUCAGCUGUCAUCUCGGCCUCGCUUAGACGAUAAUCAUUCUCGUCGCGUGAAAGUAUUUCACGGGAGAAAUUUGAAAGAGAAAGAGAAUUCAAGGCAGAAUAAUUCAAAGGAAUGGAAAUGUUCAGUUUGUGGUUUAAUUUUUCGAAAAGCAAUAUUGCUUAAUUUGCAUACCCUCACUCACGGUGCUGAUAAAGUUAAAACGAAGAUUCAGAACACCGCUUGUCCACAGUGUGGGCUGCGAUUCCAGAAGCAAAAGGAGUUAGUUAAUCACGUCUCCCAACACGGAAGAUUAUCUUUAACGAAAACAAAGAGAAUGACCCCUUUAUCUACGUAUAAGUGUUCAAUGUGCUACAAACGUUUUGCCACGAAAGUACGGUUACAACAGCACUGUUUGGUGCAUGGUGCUGAAGACCAAAAACCACUGCCAUGCAACAUUUGCUUCAAACGAUUCAUGAACAAUUCAGCGUUGUCUUGUCACUUAAAAACACACCGAGAGAAUAAACAAGUGUUUGAGUGUCCGAUGUGCCGGCAACUAUUUAGCCAGAGUAUCACACUGAAAGAUCACAUUGAAACUCAUAAAAAAGAAGAUGGUACCUUUUGCUGUCCCUACUGCCAAAGAAUAUUUAUGAAAUAUUCCGUUAUACGUAAACAUAUUAGAGCGCAUCAUUGCGAAAGGAAACACAAGUGUCAAGUUUGCGCGAAACGCUUCGCUACGGUUGACAAAUUGCAGAUGCAUCUUCUAAAACAUUCUGAUCAUAGAGAAUUUCAUUGUGCUAAUUGUGGCAAACAAUUUAAGAGGAAAGAUAAGCUGAAGGAGCACAUGACGAAGUUACAUAAUUCGCAAACGGCUACCGAGGAACAAAUGUCGCAGGUUACACAAACAAAAAAAUUUGUUCCAAAGGUCAAUCCUAAUGACUACAAUCGCUUCAUUUACAAAUGUCAUCAAUGCCUGGUGGGCUUUAAACGAAGGGGAAUGCUCGUCAAUCAUUUAGCAAAACGUCAUCCUGAUGUUGCUCCCGAAUCUGUUCCAGAACUGAACUUACCAAUUUUACGCCAAACUAGAGACUAUUACUGUCAAUACUGCGACAAGGUUUACAAAAGCAGCAGUAAACGUAAAGCGCAUAUUAUGAAAAAUCACCCGGGAGCUGCUUUACCGCCAAGCAACAGACAAAAGGAGUCCGACUACUCCGAUUUGCCUAAUCCAACGUUCAGUCAAACUGUUGGUAGUAUCACAACUACGCCCCAGGGUUGCCAGUGGUGUCACAAACAAUAUGCCAGUAAGGCAAAAUUAUUACAACAUCAACGUAAGAAGCAUUCGAAUUUGAUGGAACCAGCCGAUCAAGUACCACGGUCCCGGAAUCGACAGCCACAAAAUCAAAAUCAACCCCCGGUACUUAUCGAAGAUCACUUCGUGCUGUCGGAUUACAUUCAAGCGUGCGACACGAAUUCCGAGUUCUUUAAGCCGAAAAUAAUCAAACUGUCCGAGGACGUUGAUCUCAUAAGUAACGGACUGGAACUUGUCGGGCAACAGUUUGUUCGUAUGCGUGACAUACGUUGAAAAGAGCGAUGACAGCCUCGUCACGAGGUUUCGUCAAUUUACCGAGAUAUGAAUCUCAUGAAUUUGUGCACAGUAGAGGAAACACAACUGUGCUUUUUGCUGUGGUUGCCAAAUGAAGGCGAACCCGUCGUCCCCCGCGCGAGGGGCAAUUGGUGCGCCGCCGGGGAAUAUUUGGGUCGCAGCUUUGUCGGCGUCGGUGCGAAACACUCGACGCCCAUUUCUUGGUUGUACGGUCGGCGAUGACGUCGUCGCGACCUCGAGGCUGGGCAGCCAGCGGCAUUGGAAACUUUGUUGGAACGGAGUACACACACUGUUUUGUGAAAACUUUCAGCCCGACGGGGCAAAAAACACAGGAACGAAAGAAUUUACGCCUAAGACACACAACAGGAAACACAAACAUGGAGAUUUAAGACUAAACACAACGGGGAAACAUGUAGUUGUCGAGAUCUUUGCUCAAGGUAUUACGAGUACAGAGCGCGAAGAAAAAAGAGGACCGACAGCGUCAGGUUUUAGCGUACCCGCGUUGGAUACCGUCGCGAUGUUGCCGUCCUUUCUCAACUGAGCCAUCUCGUGCAACUGCUUCUGCAUCACGACCAGGGAGACCUUGUUCGCCGAGAAGAAAUCCUGCAUGGAGAUCAGCUCUCCGGACAUCCUCCUAGGUAUAUCCGAGCCGUCGCCCUUCAGCGAAUCCCUUCCGGCCACCCUGGUGCCCCUCCUCUUCGAGAAGUACAUCGUCGACACGGAGGACCUCCUCCUCGGGAGUACGUGCAGCAGCAGCCGAGCAGAACGAACAGAAAGUUGGCGAUGCGGUACCUGCGCCGGGACAAACCACCGAAUUGAGAACCUUCGACGGCCAAGCUUCAGGAAAGGAAGAAACGCACCAGUAGAUGUAAGAGUGAUCCGCCCUCUCCGUGGCGACGAAGUCCCCGAACCCGAUGGUCGCGAAGCUGACGAAGCAGAAGUACAGAGCGUCGAAGUACUCCCACUGUUCGAGCGGAGCGUAAACGGCGGCAGCGCAGCUGGCCACCGUGCAGCUGAACACCGACAGAUAGAACAUCACCCAGUACACGCUCGGCUUCCAUUGGUCCAGGUCCGAACUGUUGUCGUCGAUCUCGACGGUCCGCGGCAGAGAGUCCUUCCGGCCCUCCAGGAAUCUCGAGCGUCUCCGCAGACGGUGCUGAUGGUUAAUGCGCAGGACCCACGCGAGGAACGUGAUGAUCCUCUCGAGGAACAGAUUGAAGAACAGAAUCCCGCCUGGAAACCCGACCGUUUACGUCUCGGAUCGUCGUGUUCUAUUCCUAUCAUUGUCAAGUUUCUCGAGACCGAGUACGCUUGGUCUAUGAAAACUACUGUGCAAAGCAUCCGUGGGAGACGACGGAUCGACCAAGCAUCGAGAAACACGACAUUCUUACCGGAGCAGCCGACGAAUCCGUAGAAGAUCACGGCGACUUUACCCGGCGUGGACUGCGGCGCGGUGUUCCCGUACCCUGGAAAAUGGCGCUCGGAAUCAGGUCCACGAUCCCCGCGGACGCGGUGCGGAAUACCGGGCCAAAGGGACUGCGGAGGGCAACCGCGGUACUGGGUCGCGAGAUAUUAACAUUCCGGAGUCCACCGGCGCAUUCUUGCGCGUGCCGCGGACGACGACCCUUUCCCCUUCGUUCGCCGCUGUUGUGACCGCGGGUUUCGAUAAUCGCGGCCGCCGAUUAGAGGCCGGCUCUCGCGGGACAGUAGGAAAAGUACCCGAACGCGCAAGAUUACGGGGUAUAUAGGGCGAACGUUGCAAAAUUGUUUGCCGACGGUUGUUGACGUCCGACCGAGCAGAUAGAUUUUCCGAAACGCCGCGGGAAAAGGGGGGGCGAGAGCACGGUCGCGAUAAAGCGCGGCACAUGUUCCACUGACCCGUUAUUCCGGUUCACUUGCACGGCACCGAGCGAGACACGUGGAAUGCUGGAACGGUCGUUUCCGCUUACCGAUCGUGGAGACGAUGGUGCCCACGAAGUAGAAGCUGCCGGAGAAGUCCCAUCGCCGGCCCUUGUUGAUCACACCGGAGGACGAGGCGUUCCCGUAGGCGUACAGCAGCUCGUCCAGUCUCUGGAGAGCGACGGGGCUGCUUUGAAGGUGGUGCCGCCGGAAUGUAUGGUACACCCUCCAGAACUCAGCCGCCUGGAAGCACCGAAUGACUCAAUACACUUGGUUCGCCUGAAGUCUUCUCGUCUUAGUGUACCUUCGUAU